UACGUAGGGGGCAAGCGUUGUCCGGAUUUAUUGGGCGUAAAGAGCGUGUAGGCGGCCUGAAAGGUCAGCUGUGAAAACUCGAGGCUCAACCUCGAGACGUCGGUUGAAACCAUCUGGCUAGAGUCCGGAAGAGGAGAGUGGAAUUCCCGGUGUAGCGGUGAAAUGCGCAGAUAUCAGGAAGAACACCCGUGGCGAAGGCGGCUCUCUGGAACGCAACUGACGCUGAGACGCGAAAGCGUGGGGAGCAAACAGG
Molecule: ribosomal RNA, 253 nt
Filed under: uncultured bacterium
Lineage: Bacteria
Description: partial 16S ribosomal RNA
Rfam family: Bacterial small subunit ribosomal RNA
Source: RNAcentral